UAGUAAAAGGAAGUGUUAUAAUUGUUAAGAUGAACAUUUAUUUAAUUUUGAUAUUUCACAGCUUUUUAGCCUUCCGUAAGUAUCUUUAUGUUCUAUCUAGAUAGGAUGCUAUAUGGUAUGGUUGAAGAAUUUUAUGCCUGUCGAUUACUUUGUUUACAUUUCUAUCACAAUCACAUGUACAUUUUAUCUUGUGAUCGUCGUGGCAGACAAAAUCUUGAGAGGGAACUGCUACUUGUGAAUAGUGGUGUAUUUGAAGUACUGUUUGGACUCGUCGUUCAAGAAAAUCUGUGUAUUUUAUAUUUGGUAGAUUUUUAUAAAGAAUAGAAAGUCAGUUUACUUUGAGUUUAAUAAUUUGACUCAUGGGACCAAAAAUAUAAAACCCUAAGUUCACACACAUUUAUGAAUCUGUUAUACUGUAAAGAUCUAUUUAAGAUUGUUUUCAAAUGGCAUGUAUAUGAAAUUAAAUGAGGAAAAUUGAUAACUUCCUCUUAUUGUCAAACAGGAUGAUAAAUUGAUUCCUGUUUUUGUUUGUCAAUGCAUGGUGUAGUUUUGCAAGCUUAGUUUGAUAACAUAUAGUGUAACCAAGUGGGGAAGACAUAAAAGGCUGAUACAGAUGUUGAUAUUUUAAUGGUAAACUCAAAGGAGGUAGAUACAGUGUAUGAACAUCUACAAAAUGAAAAUAAAAAAAGGAAUUAGAAAAUACAAUGACAAUCUUCGGCUGUUGUAUGCUAUUUGGUCGACCUCUUCUUAUUUUCAAAUGAAUCGGAGUUCUUUCAGACACUUAUGAAAAGCAAGAAAAUCAAAGAAUCCAGAUUAUAAAAUUUCACUUUUAGAUAUAUUGAUGAUGUAUUUUCCAUUAAACAUCCAAACAUUUCUGAUUAGGUUCCAUUAAUAUAUUCCCCCGAACUAGAUAUUAAAGAAACGACAGACUUAUACUUCGAAUUUGACAUACACAGUCAUUACAGCUGUGGUACUAGUACCAGAAUCUAUGACAAGCGAGACAAUUUUUUUUUUAAUUUUGAUAUAUCAAUUUCGCCAACCUUAGUAGUAAUAUAUACCAACUUCACCUGAAUAUGGGAUAUACAUUUCCCAUUUUAUUCAAUAUUCAAGAGUUUUCUGCACCUCCUACUCAGACUUUGUAAAACGUCAUCAGUGUUUGAGCAGCAAAUGGAUGAACCAAGGGUAUGUCAAAGAACGUCUCGUCCUUUUUCUAAAAAAGUUCAUCGGAAGGUACCAAGACCUUGUUGAUAAAUAUUGCGUAUAAACUUCACAAAUAAUACAUGAUGGUCUUGAUGUAUAGAUUCUGCGUACUGACGUUGUUUAUCAUCUUAACAACGUGUUAUAUUGUUCUUUCAUUUGUCUUUGUUCUAUUAUUAAUAUUACUUUCACAGUUUUGUCUGGUUUCUGUGAUAUUUUACUCGCGUAGGAGUAUUAACCAUAUGUGGAUUCUUAGUAAUUUUUAAAUGUGUUCUGGAUAGUUUUAAAUCUUGGUCUGUUUCUUAAAUUAGUUUUAACAUAAUUUUGAUUUUUUUAACCCUGUGUACAACCAUUCUUCGUGUGAAUUUAUAUAUAUUUUUAAAAAAACAUUGAACCGCAAAAUUAUUUUAUAUUUUUAUAUGUGACGUUAUCAUUUUUAUGACGUCAAAUACGUGAAGCAAUGCAUGUCGUUUAUAAAUUUGAUAGAUGCUUUUGUGCUUUUUUGUUAAAUAUGUGUUUGUUUUGAGAUUGUGACACAGUGAUGACUGUUGUAUUUAUAUUUUGACUAUUUACCUAUUAUGUUUGUUUUGUUCACGCAUCUUUGUAAAUGUAAUGGAAUUGGAUGCGACUGUGAGAGGUUUAGCGCAAAAAAAAACACAUUUAAUCCACCAUUUUCUACAUUUGAAAAUGCCUUCACCAAAUCACGAAUAUGACAGUGGUUGUCCAUACGAUUGAUGGGUUUUAUCAUUUGAUUAGGGACUUUCCGUUUUAAAUUUUUCUCGGAGUUCAGUAUUUUUGUGAUUUUACUUUAUACACGAAAAAGUAAACAGCUUUCGUAAGGAAAAGUAAUGCCACACAAACAAAGAUAUAAAUUGUACGGUAUCUCAUUCUAAAUAUUGCCGUUUAAUUACACUAAACUGCUAUAACAUUUGUUGAUGAAAAUAUUGGUUUGGCGCAAAUGCUUGAUAAAAGAAACAAUAUAAUGAUGACACGCUCUGACUAUAUGACCUCAUAAUAUAUAAUAUGAUUAUCUAGAAAAAAUUAAAUUGGCGCUAGGUACAACAAUAAUAAUCUUUGUCAACAACACGAUUAAUUUGUCUUCCUGUCAGUAUAAAAAUGUACCAAACCGGUUACAGUAACGACAAAAAACCCGUAGUGUAUUGACACUUGCAUACAGCCUCCCCUGCUUAAGACAGUAUAAUGUCCCCAUUUACUGAAAACUUAAUACUCGAAGUUUUAAAAUAAACUUUCUCAUAAGUAUGUUAAACAAUCAGAAAUUGUAAAAACUAAUCUAAAUCAUAUCAAAAAUUGUAAAACAACUAAUCUAAAUCAUAUCAAAAAUAUAAAGUACAUACAAGCAAACAACAAACAAACAAAAAUUACAUUGAGUAUGUUUAACAAAAUAAUAAUGACUCACUGGUGGAUCUAAAAACUUGAGUACAAGAACUAUUUCUUACAAUAUAAAGUAAAAACCAACAAUUUUAUAUAUUGUUGUAAAGUCAAUAAAAUCCUAUACGGUCUUAGAAAUUCUUCAAUUGGUACGGGAUGAACAUUUGAAUGUGUUCAAGGAUUUACGCGUGCACUACGACGGAGGGGUUGAGAACCUUCAUAUCAAAAAGCAAAUGGAUCAUCUUCAUCAGAUUCAUUGUCAUUUUCCUCAUUACUAGCCGUCAAACAUUCUCUACGGCAAUACUUUUCUACCCACCUGGUGCAAAUGAUAGGUAAAGGUCUAUGGUUCAAUGGGUCAAAAGGCCCAGGUGGGACAACUUAUGGUUGUUUUCAUCAUUUUAUUUAGGUCCAAAGUUGGGUGUAGACAUCCUAACUUAACCUCACGAAAACAAUCUCAUCAGCAAUAUAGUUUUAUCUGCACUAGGUGUAAAAGGAAGGUGGGGACCUGUCAUGAAUUCUUUUUUAAAAAGCUAAUUAAUAAUAUCACUGCACAUCAUUCUUUGAGCACAGCAAAUAAAUAUUUCGUCCAAUCAAAUACAUGUAUAAGCAAAAUCCACUAGUUCAGAAGUAGAAUUGUUCGUCAAAUCAAUGUUGUCCUACAAAAAAAUUAUGAAAGCACAUGUACAACUUUCUAUUCUUCUAAUGCAGAACAAUUGUUACCUUUCAAGCUAUUUCAUAAAAUGUCUCAAAAUAAUUUCUUACACCAUACAACAAUACUUGUGUUCAAAACUCAAAAUCUAAUCAGUGUGCAGCAUCAUGUAAGAUAUAUAGAAAGCGAAUACCAUUGUCGUCUUAGUGAAUAGGAAAUGAAAUUUAUUUAAUAGAGUAUUUGACUGCAUAAUCUUAUAUUAAAACAGAUGAUUUUGGUUAUAUAUUUAUAAAAAAAAAACAUUUUAAGUACGUUUGGUUGUAAGGCAACUUUUGGGUUUAAAAAACAUAUCUGGAAACUGGCAACUAGCGAAGCGGCUGAUAGCUAAUGACUGCUACAUUGUACGUGUUGUUUAUUCUUUAGUUUUCUAUGUUAUGUCGUGUGUGCUGUUAUUUGUUUGUCUUUUUCAUUUUUAGCCAUGGCGUUGUCAGUUUGUUUUAGAUUUAUGAGUUUGACUGUCCCUUUGGUAUCUUUCGUCCCUCUUUUAUAACCACUGGGUCGAGGUCUCUGCUGGUGGACAUUUUUGUCCCCGAGGACAUCAUCCGCCCAGUAGCAAAACUACAAUUGCAUGAAUUUACGAAGAUCUAACAGGAAACUGGCUCGGACGUCGCCCAGUAUAAAAAAAGGUCCGAAACAGACGUCACCAUGGACACGGUGUCGUCUGAUACGGCAGGUGUCCCCUCAUCACCAGACAUGACAAAUAACACAAACAUGACUCAUUCAGAUCAUCGUCCUAGUGAUAACAGCAAUAUUACACAUAUACAGCCAUGUUCAGUUCUCCUCAAAGACAUUUUGGUUUUUGAUGACACAGUACAACACUGUCGCAUUUCGAAAUGUGAAACCAAAGGCUGCAAAACUUGUGCAAUUUUAAUUACAGAUGAUAAAUUCACUAGCAAUUUGACCAAAAAGUCAUAUUUUACCAGAAGUUACGAUGAUCUGAAUUCUAAAUCGAUAAAUGUCGUGUACGGAUUAGAGUGCAACUUUUGCGGAUUGGUAUACGUCGGUGAAACGAAAGGAAGGCUUAACAAACGUAUGUGCGGUCAUAGAUCAGACAUUAAUCUUAAUGCUAACGAUAUUCUAUACCAGCAUUUCAAUCAGCCCGAUCAUUUCAUCGUUUCCAUGACAGUUCGCAUUAUCGAAAAGAUAUACCAUAGCUCUAACAAUCCUAAUCUUUCAACAACUCUCUGUAGACAAAAAGAUGGACUACUGGAUUAGACAAUUUGGGAACUGCGACACCUUAUGGUUGCAAUGACAAAAUUGAUGGUAUAGAUAUUCUAUCUAGUCCUUCGUGUAACUCGAUGAAUGUGAUGAAUAUUUUCAACUCCUCGACGUAGACGCAGUCAUGGUCAUCGUCAUUCAGGGGUCGAAUUUAAGCUUUUUUGUGUACUGGCCAGUCGGACAAAUGGACUGAAAACUCUACUGGUCCGGCUCCAAAUCUACUGGUCUUGCAAAAAUGACAUUAAUUUGACAAACACUAAUAUAAAUGACAGAUGUUUAAUUUUAUUUUGAUGCUUUCGUUUACAUAAGUUAGACAGUAACAAAGGAAUAGUCUUUAUUCUGGUUUUGAUAAAGGCUUUGGUAAUCUUAAUGAUUUUCUUUAUUUUUCUUUUAUUGCCGUAGAUUUUUUGUGCUGUUCCGAUUGCUCAUGAGCAAGUACAGAAUCCAAUCUGAAAUUUGACGAUUCAGUUACGAAAAUACAUUUCCUAUCUAGGUCUGUCACUGCAAAUUUUUCACAUAUUGUACAGUUCAUUAAAUUCCGAUCUACUAUAGUCUAUAAUGCAACCAUUCACGAUCUUUUUCCCAUGAUUUUUGGUAUUUGCGUUUCCUUUUGUUAUUUGUUUGUCACUUUAGUAUACUUUAUUUCGAUCUUCCUUUUGAUUUUCAGUUAUCUUAAUGUUUUUGUCCGGCGGUUUAACUCCUUCCAAAAAUUUCCACAUUUUAUAUUGUGAAGGACGCUCACCCGAGAUAUUAAUUAACUUGAUCAAUUGUAAUACCCCCCCAGUACCGUGUAAUUGAUUUCACAGGUAAAUUGUUUUGUAAACAAACGGAGAUUGCGAUGCAAUCAGUGAUUUUUAUCGACAAAUUUCUACUGGUCCGCCGGAACACCAGCUGACAAAAUCUACUUGUCCGACGCAAAUUUUACUAGUCCCGGGCCACCGGACUAGCGCUAAUUUCGACCCCUGUACGUCAUUAUACAUCACCUUCUCUGCAUGAUGUAUCUAUUAAUGACUUGCUGCCAUUUAUACAAAAGUCGUUAGGUAUUCAUCACAUUCGCACGAAACUUUAUUCAUUACCCCUUUCAUAACUUCAUUCUCUGUUCAAUUUAUGUUUGGAAUCCAUUGUUACAAACCCUCAUUCAAACCUAUACAAAAUUACAGCUAUAAUUUCGGAUAUUGCAAGUCACAGACUUUUCAAGCCAGUCCGCAUUGGCAAAGAUGAAAAAGAGAAAAGAUCUUUCCUUAAUCUUUCCUUUGCCAACAAAGGUAUCGAUGGCGUCAACUUAGCCAAUAUCCUUCAUCAUAAAUUAGUUCAAUCGAAAAUACCUCCUGAUUUCAAAGACCAGUCUGUACCAAUCAUUUCUUAUACCUAUACCAAACCUAUUGCAACUAAAAUUUUCAAUUACAAACACAUUUUGCAGGAUCUUGAUAUUGACGACUUCAAGUCUAAACCUCCCGAUUGCACUUGUGGUAGUUCCCAAUUCACAUAUAAUCCCGCUGGCCACACUAUUAUCGGUGACCUCAACAUUGUUAAUAACAUUUCUCUACGAAAUGUGUUAUCGAAAGGUCCGAAAUAUCGUGAGCCUAAAUCCAUCAAUUGGAAAUUCAACUUUAAAAGUUUGAUGGAUUCAGUUGAGGAUUAUGCCAGGCAAUGGGCUAAGCGCGAGAAGGAAGAUGUAGACACUCUUUCCGAAUGGAUUAAGGCAGUGAGGUCGUUGAUACAAAUCAGAAUUAAGAAACUGAAUGGGUCUAUCAAUGCCCAUGCUACGUCAAUCUUUAAAGAUCCAAAUGUUGCAAAACACCUAUCCUACCUCCAUGACAAAUAUGUUGUUGUUUUCUCUACGAAAUGUGUUAUCGAAAGGUCCGAAAUAUCGUGAGCCUAAAUCCAUCAAUUGGAAAUUCAACUUUAAAAGUUUGAUGGAUUCAGUUGAGGAUUAUGCCAGGCAAUGGGCUAAGCGCGAGAAGGAAGAUGUAGACACUCUUUCCGAAUGGAUUAAGGCAGUGAGGUCGUUGAUACAAAUCAGAAUUAAGAAACUGAAUGGGUCUAUCAAUGCCCAUGCUACGUCAAUCUUUAAAGAUCCAAAUGUUGCAAAACACCUAUCCUACCUCCAUGACAAAUAUGUUGUUGUUCCCGCAGAUAAAGCCCCAAACAACAUCGUUUUUGUAUGUAAAACUCAUUACAUUAACUGCUUGAUAAACGAAUUAGGUAUUGACAAUUUACUUGGAAACUCAACAUAUACCCUCACGACACUUACCAAAGAGGAAAUCCUGGAUAAUCAUAGGUCUGUUCUGUGUUCCUUUGGAAUUUCAACCAAAGAUGAAGAACUGGAUCUGCCAUCACUGUAUUGGAUACCUAAACUACAUAAGUGUCCUUACAAACAACGGUAUAGUGCUGGGUCUCCCAAGUGCUCCACGAAACCUCUUUCUAAAUUAUUAACAUCUAUUUUAUAAGCAAUCAAAGACGGGCUUCAAAGUUAUUGUGAAACUGCCUAUUCUAGAGGGGGCGUGAAUCAGAUGUGGAUACUUAAAAAUUCAUACAAUCUAACUCUCUUUCAACUUGUAACAGUAUUAAAACAUUUGACUUUUCUACUCUGUACACUAGUAUUCCACAUUCCAAACUAAAAGACAAAUUGAAAAGAGUUGGUAUUGCUUUGCUUCGUAAAAAAGAAUGGCCAACGUAGGUACAAGUAUCUUGUCUUAGGGAGGGAUAAAUCCUACUUUGUAAAGGAUCACUCUGAUUCGAACAAAAAAUUCUCUGAAACAGAUAUUAUCAAGAUGCUUGAUUUCUUGUUUUGGACAACAUAUUUGUUACGUUCGGAGGACGUGUUUUUCAACAGACUGUCGCCAUUCCAAUGGGAACAAACUGUGCCCCUCUACUUGCCGACUUGUUUCUUUAUUAUUAUGAGGCUCACUUCAUGCAGGAACUUCUUAGGAAGAAAGAUAAGAAGUUAGCACUAUUCUUUAACUCUACUUUUCGCUAUAUAGAUGAUGUUCUUUCACUAAAUAAUUCAAAAUUUGGUGACUAUGUGGAACGCAUCUAUCCAAUCGAGCUAGAGGUAAAGGAUACUACAGAUACAGUUAAGUCAGCCUCAUAUCUUGACUUACAUCUAGAAAUUGACAAUGAGGGUCGGUUGAAAACAAAACUUUACGACAAAAGAGAUGAUUUCAGCUUUCCAAUUGUGAACUGUCCAUUUCUAAGUAGCAACAUUCAGCAGCACCUGCAUACGGGGUAUAUAUCUCCCAAUUGAUACGAUAUUCCCGUGCUUGCAUUUCCUAUCAUGAUUUUCUUGAUAGAGGGUUGCUGCUCACAAGGAAGCUAUUAAACCAAAGAGUUCCAAAUGGUGAAGUUGAAAUCAUCCCUUCGUAAAUUUUACGGACGCCAUCACGAGUUGGUUGACCGUUAUGGAAUAAUCGUAUCACAAAUGAGAUCGGAUAUGUUCCUUAUGUCGUAACUACAAUCCCUUCCUUUCCUGAAUGUGACCUACCGAAUUAGACUAUUUACCGGAUUUGUUAUCACAUAAGCAACACGACGGGUGCCGCAUGUAGAGCAGGAUCUGCGUACCCUUCCGGAGCACAUGAGUUCACCCCUAGUGUUUUGGUGGGGUUCGUGUUGUUUAUUCUUUAGUUUUCUAUGUUGUGUCGUGUGUGCUGUUGUUUGUUUGUCUUUUCAUUUUAAGCCAUGGCGUUGUCAGUUUGUUUUAGAUUUAUGAGUUUGACUGUCCCUUUGGUAUCUUUCGUCCCUCUUUUGUACCUUGAGCCUGGUAUUUUCAAUCAGACUAUAAGCCGUCGAAAAUAUAAAAAUGCAUAGUAAACGGAGGGAGUUAGGGGGGGGGAUGGACAAACUGAGGAAAAAAUUCUCUUACUAGAUUGGCACACAUUGGCUUUACUUUUUUUGCUUGACUAAACCUAUUAAAAAUUUAGCGAUGAAAUUAUUCUUCAUGUUGGUGUGCAAUUUAUAUUAAACAGGAACGAUGAAACCAUUUCUGUUUUUUUUCACACCGAAGGUUGAAAACAAUAUGCAUUACAAUACCAUAGACUGAAUGUGCCUUAUCCUAGUGUGAUACGAAACCAACCAAUUGUAUUCUUAUACAUGUAUUACAAGUAUAACAAACAUAUCUAUUCAAUAAAAAGUUUAAAAUACUGAAAAACAAACACAAAACAUAUUCUUCCUAAAAAAAUAAUAAUUUAUGAACAAAAAUCAGCUACAUAACAAGCAAAUAUGAGAAACGUAAUGAGUGAACACUUUUCUUGUUAAUGACCUAAUAGUGCAAGCAACAAAAUGAUUUACGAUUCCCCAACAAUAAUUACAUUAGAUGUAUGUUUCAUUAUAAUAUUUUAUUCUGAUUGGCUAACUGCACAUCACGUGUUAUUCCGUAAGCAGUUACAAUGCUCAAUACAACUUUUCACUCAUGAUAACACGUGCUCCAACAAUAAAGUGCACAGGUGAAUUAAAUAAUAAAAUUAUAAAAUUCGUGUUUUCAUGAUCAUAGCUAAAAAAUGUAAUUAUAAGUAUUGAAUGCUUAUUUUUGUAACUUUAUAGGAUUGUAAAAGCGUUGACCGUGCGUACAUUUUUAAAAUGAAGCGCUUCCGCGCUUCAUACAAAAUGUACUUCGGUCAACGCUUUUACACCCCAAUAAAUUUACAAAAAGAAGCAUUCAAUUCUUAAAUGAAAUCUCGGAUGAAAAGGAAUUGGAAUAAUAUAAAAACGAAUUUGUUUUGACAUGAACAGACAAAACAUGACGGUACUCUAUCUCAAAUUAAGUGGCAUAAGAUAUAGUUUAACUAUUGUCGUUUUGAAUUUUUGAAUGCGUAAAUAGUACAGAGCACUUUGCAGCAAACAACCAAUGUUCAAUCUUAUUCUUAAUAUGACUUGCAAUUUCAAAGAGAGAGCAAGUUUUGCGAUACACACUGACCAUGAUGACAAUGUGCGUAUUAUAACACUAAAUUGUUUAACUGCAAAUAUGUUUUUGGAUAGAUGCAUACGAAUAUUAUUUAUAUUUAUUCAAAUAACUAUUAUAUCUGAUUGAAAUGAGAAAAAAACUAUCUAAAAAAACUACAAUAUUUUUUCUAUGAGAUAUGAUAUAUCCUAUCGGACUGUAAUUUUUCCUAUGGAUUCAAAUAAAAAAAGUUUUAUAGUAACGGAAUAAAAUACGUGGUAAAAAAUCGUCAUUUUGUUAGUAAUCCCAAAGGGUUAACAAAUUUCUAAUGUAUUUUGAUAAGACUUUAGAUUUUCAUAAUCUUUCACAUUAUUACGUUGUCAGUGUCUAAGUGAAAUAUAUAUAAAAGAGUUUCAUCAGCUAAUACAAAAAAUAUUCAAAAUACCUGACCUGUCUUCGCAUUUGUUCUGGUUGAACAAAAUUCUAUCGAAUGAAUGUAACUAUUUGAAAAUUGAUUUGGUUCAUGUUAACAAACCAUACACACAUUCAAUUUUUAUUUUGUAUUUUGAAUGUUUCAAAAUCAAUCAAAUUCAUGUACAUUUAUACGUGCUGUUGCAUCAGGUCAUCUGAAAUAAUUAACACGUGAGAUUUAGUGUAAUUGAUUGGUAUGAUUUUGUUUUCAUUUCCUGGUAUCUUAAUUAAUAAAAAAACGCAUUAUUUGUACAAAAAUAAUUUUUGUUAACUUUUCAAUUUUUGUAUUCAAAUUUUCGAGGUAUCGUUCUUGUUUUGUCAGGGUCGGUAACUGUUUUUAAAUAAAGGUUAUUCAGAUUGAAUGUUUCCACUGUAAGAAUAUUGACAAUGCAGGAAUAUGUAUUAUUUCAGGAUAUUUCAAAGUAGAAGCAGCUUCUGCGAUCAGUGGAUCGACUGCUCAGUUAAAAUGUGGACAAACAGUUACUGGGGGAAAGGUAAUCACUUGGGGAAAAGUUCUAUCAGGAAAAGAAACAACAUACUCAAUAGGGACAGCUAUAAACCAAAAUUUACCACCUGAAUUAAAAUCCAGAUUACAUGUCACAGUUGACCAUACUGCAGGAGAAUAUGAUCUGAGAAUAAAUGGUGUCAUGAAGAGUGAUGAAGGAACUUACCAGUGUGCAAUUUUUGGUACAGCUGAUGGUAUUACUAGACAUACCUUGACUGUUAUAA
Molecule: long non-coding RNA, 10589 nt
Filed under: Mytilus galloprovincialis (Mediterranean mussel)
Lineage: Eukaryota; Metazoa; Mollusca; Bivalvia; Mytilida; Mytilidae
Source: RNAcentral